GAGCCUCCCGAGCCAUGAAGGAUAAAAGUGUUGGGCCUGGGACUGGGGGUCCUGCAUAUGGCAUGACCCUCUGAGGGCGGCGUGUGAGUGAAAUUAUUAAUGCUUUUUUUGAACUGCAUUAACUGGAUUUCACAUGGAUACAGAUUGGAAGGAAAGCAUAUGACAAUCAAAUAGCGUUAAUGCUUUACGAAUUGCCAAGCCUCCUUACUUUUAUCCUUUUUCUACUUUGUGGAAGCCAGCCAGCAAAGCGUCGGUGCAUUUUUUGUACUCUGAAUUUUAAUGUCUUUUGAGUCUUAGUGAUUUUAUUUCAUCAAAUUGAGCUGUUGGAUUUUU
Molecule: unclassified non-coding RNA, 333 nt
Filed under: Hevea brasiliensis (rubber tree)
Lineage: Eukaryota; Viridiplantae; Streptophyta; Magnoliopsida; Malpighiales; Euphorbiaceae
Source: RNAcentral